RNAcentral lists this ribosomal RNA (669 nucleotides) under uncultured archaeon. RNAcentral describes it as "bacterial SSU rRNA". It matches the Rfam family "Archaeal small subunit ribosomal RNA", at positions 326 to 999 of the family's 1478-position model. The record is from RNAcentral.
UGAUUUGCAGCAGGCGCGCAAACUUUACAAUGCGAGCAAUCGUGAUAAGGAAACCCUGAGUGCCUGUCGAUGCAGGCUGUUCAUAUAUCUAAAUCAUAUGUGAAGAAAGGGCAGGGCAAGACCGGUGCCAGCCGCCGCGGUAAUACCGGCUGCUCGAGUGAUGGCCACUAUUACUGGGUUUAAAGCGUCCGUAGCUUGACUGUUAGGUCUCUUGGGAAAUCUUCACGCUCAACGUGAAGGCGUCUAAGAGAUACCGGCAGUCUUGGAACUGGGAGAGGUAAACCGUACUUCGGGGGUAGGAGUGAAAUCUUGUAAUCCUCGAGGGACGACCUAUGGCGAAGGCAGUUUACCAGAACAGCUUCGACAGUGAGGGACGAAAGCUGGGGGAGCAAACGGGAUUAGAUACCCCGGUAGUCCCAGCCGUAAACAAUGUGCGUUAGGUGUGUCGGUAACCACGUGUUACUGAUGCGCCGAAGAGAAAUCGUGAAACGCACCACCUGGGAAGUACGGUCGCAAGGCUGAAACUUAAAGGAAUUGGCGGGGGAGCACCACAACAGGUGGAGCCUGCGGUUUAAUUGGAUUCAACGCCGGACAUCUCACCGGAUAAGACAGCUGAAUGAUUGUCAAUCUGAAGGUUUUACAUGACUAGCUGAGAAGAGGUGCAUGGCC